RNAcentral lists this ribosomal RNA (496 nucleotides) under uncultured bacterium. RNAcentral describes it as "partial 16S ribosomal RNA". It matches the Rfam family "Bacterial small subunit ribosomal RNA", at positions 28 to 507 of the family's 1533-position model. The record is from RNAcentral.
GAUGAACGCUGGCGGCGUGCCUAAUACAUGCCAGUUGAGCGAUCAAGCUUGGUGCUUGCACCUCUUUCAUUAGCAGCGAACGGGUGAGUAACACGUGGGGAAUCUACCUUUGAGCGUGGGACAACUUCUGGAAACCAAUGCUAAUACCGGAUAACAACUUUAACCAUAUGUUUUAAUUUUGAAAGAUGCAUUUGCUUUACUUUAUAAUUAUCCCCCGUUGUAUUAGCUUGUUGGUAAGGUAAAGGCCUACCAAGGCAAGAUUGCGUAGCCGACCUGAGAGGGUGAUCGGCAAAAUUGGAACGGAGAAACGGUCAAGACUCCAAGGGGAGGCAGAGGAGGGGAAUCUCGGGAAAGGGGGGAAAGCCGGACGGAGAAACGCCGGGUGGGGGAUGAAGGUCUUGGGAUCGAAAAACUCGGUUGUAAGGGAGGAAGAAAGGGGGAAGGAAAUACGCACGUAGUGACGGUAACUAACCAGAAAGCGACGGCUAACUACGUG